AGUCUAUCGUGUGGACAUUUUCUUAGCACAUCUCUAAAUCUUUCUCAUGCUUCAUACAAUGAUUCACCCUCUUGUUGGAUAAAAUUAGUUAUGUUCAUUAUAAAUUU
Coffea eugenioides is the source of this 107-nucleotide small nucleolar RNA. The record is from RefSeq and is a predicted model, not a curated record. Lineage: Eukaryota; Viridiplantae; Streptophyta; Magnoliopsida; Gentianales; Rubiaceae.